UAGGGAAUCUUCGGCAAUGGACGAAAGUCUGACCGAGCAACGCCGCGUGAGUGAAGAAGGUUUUCGGAUCGUAAAACUCUGUUGUUAGAGAAGAACAAGGACGUUAGUAACUGAACGUCCCCUGACGGUAUCUAACCAGAAAGCCACGGCUAACUACGUGCCAGUAGCCGCGGUAAUACGUAGGUGGCAAGCGUUGUCCGGAUUUAUUGGGCGUAAAGCGAGCGCAGGCGGUUUCUUAAGUCUGAUGUGAAAGCCCCCGGCUCAACCGGGGAGGGUCAUUGGAAACUGGGAGACUUGAGUGCAGAAGAGGAGAGUGGAAUUCCAUGUGUAGCGGUGAAAUGCGUAGAUAUAUGGAGGAACACCAGUGGCGAAGGCGGCUCUCUGGUCUGUAACUGACGCUGAGGCUCGAAAGCGUGGGGAGCAAACAGG
This 429-nucleotide ribosomal RNA is filed under the name Gemmatimonadota bacterium. Its description in RNAcentral is "Gemmatimonadetes bacterium partial 16S ribosomal RNA". It matches the Rfam family "Bacterial small subunit ribosomal RNA", at positions 355 to 776 of the family's 1533-position model. The record is from RNAcentral. Lineage: Bacteria; Pseudomonadati; Gemmatimonadota.